RNAcentral lists this ribosomal RNA (510 nucleotides) under uncultured bacterium. RNAcentral's name for it is "bacterial SSU rRNA". It matches the Rfam family "Bacterial small subunit ribosomal RNA", at positions 774 to 1280 of the family's 1533-position model. The record is from RNAcentral.
AGGUAAUAGAUACCCGGGUAGUCCACGCUGUAAACGAUGGAUACUAGGUGUAGGGGGCGUAGCCCUCUGUGCCGCAGUUAAACACAUUAAGUAUCCCGCCUGGGGAGUACGAUCGCAAGAUUAAAACUCAAAGGAAUUGACGGGGGCCCGCACAAGCAGCGGAGCAUGUGGUUUAAAUUCGACGCAACGCGAAGAACCUUACCAAGGCUUGACAUCUGUAGAAUUCGGUAGAAAUACUGAAGUGCCCUUUCGGGGGAACUGCAAGACAGGUGGUGCAUGGUUGUUGUCAGCUCGUGUCGUGAGAUGUUAGGUUAAGUCCUGCAACGAGCGCAACCCCUGUUGUUAGUUGCUACCAUUAAGUUGAGCACUCUAACGAGACUGCCGAGGUUAACUCGGAGGAAGGUGGGGAUGACGUCAAAUCAUCAUGCCCUUUAUGCCUUGGGUCCACACACGUGCUACAAUGGCCGGUACAAGAGAAGCAAGGCAGCGAUGCGGAGCAAAUCUCAAAAA